AGGAGAAGAGGGGGGGGGGGGGGUUGGGGGGUGGAGGAAGCCACUGUUCUUGCUCUCCCCUCUCCCCUCCUCUCUUCCCCUAUUUUCAGAGA
RNAcentral lists this microRNA precursor (92 nucleotides) under Prunus dulcis (almond). RNAcentral describes it as "sRNA ncRNA". The record is from RNAcentral. Lineage: Eukaryota; Viridiplantae; Streptophyta; Magnoliopsida; Rosales; Rosaceae.